Bufo bufo (common toad) is the source of this 100-nucleotide long non-coding RNA. RefSeq lists it as uncharacterized. The record is from RefSeq and is a predicted model, not a curated record. Lineage: Eukaryota; Metazoa; Chordata; Amphibia; Anura; Bufonidae. The transcript is spliced from 3 exons.
AUCUGUAUCUCUCGGAAUUAGAGAACAACACACAAUUUCCAAAAUGCCAAGGUCAUAGUGUAGUCCUAUGUGAAUAUAUCCUAACAUGAGUAAAAUAGCA